AGAUAUUGUAUAGGUUUAAAACGUACAGAUGACAAACUCUAACCUAGAAACUCUAGCCUUAACUACGCUUCUUUACAAAUAAGAAUUCUAUAUCGACUCAAUUCAUGCACAUCCAGGCAAGACAUCGCCCCCGAUCUCAUCCUUCAUUACAUACAUGCAAUAAUUAGUCCUCUCGCCAGCAACAAGGAGCAGACAGGUUGUGUGGUAGUACUUGCAGGUAAUGUUCAUUAUCUCCUUCCACAAAUAAUACAUGAAUGUCUCCUUGCAAUGAUUAAUAUAUGCAUUAACUCUCUGAUCUCAUUCACAUGCUUUGUAUUAACUUCGCCGAUAAACUUGAGAUUCAAAUCACCAAUUACAGAGCGUGCACAUCCCAGCAAGACAUUGCCCUCCUCUCGCAAGCAGCAAGGAGCAGACAGGUUGUGGCAGUACUUGCAGCCAAUGUUCAUUAUGUCCUUCCACAAAUAAUAUAUGCAUGUCUCCUGCAAUGAUUAAUAUAUACAUCAACUCUCCGAGCUCAUUAAACAUGCUUUGUAUUAACUUGAAUUAUAGAGAGAAAGCGACGAUAAACUUGAGAUUCAGAUCACCAAUUACAGAGCAUAUACGUCCUCUCAUUGGAAGGUGACAACACAAGUAUCCUUCUUUCACAAUAGAAUAAUGAUUUUAGACGAUUUAAAAUCCUUUGUUGGAAAACGAUCCAUACGAAAAAGAAUCUCAUCAGGAAACUAUCUAUUCCAUACAAAUACCUUCAGCAUCCUUGCAAACAAUGUGGUGCCUGACAUGUUUACAUUAAAUUUAUCAUCAGCAAUUCUGAAUUUCUGGACAAAUAAAAUCAGUUACAUAUAAGAUGUCCUCACUUAUAUCUCAGAAUAAAAUCAAUUACGCUUUUUACCUCAUUUAUUUCAGGAUUCACUAGCCGCAGUCAACAUGCGUCAAACACGCACUAGAGCAAACCAAAACAAAGGAAGGUGUUCAUUACCACAGUACCAAAAAUAAUCAUAUAAAUAUUAAUUUACCUGGAUUAUUAAAAUGAUAACAAAAUAAAAUGCAUGAAUAUGUGACGUCAUCAAGGAAUCCAAAUACCUGAGCAAGCAGCCUCCAAACUAGCAACACUCGAAUCUAAUGAUAGUCAAUCAGACAUCAUUAGAGCAGCAACAAAGGAAGCUAGGCGGAAAAGGAAAGAGAUCCUCCAGCUGAAAAAGGCAAGCAAACGACUAAGGACAGAAAAGGGCAAUGACUGUGAAGUAUCUAAUGUAGCGAAGGAUGUCACUCAAGUUUCAUAUCUGGGAAAACCAAAUUGUGUUUGUGAAUUUUGCAAUGCCAUAUGUGGCAUGGAGAGAGAAGCACAAGCACAGGUAACAUCACAGUUCCAAAAUUUGGUCUCUGCUGCAAGGAAGGGAAAGUUAAAUUACCACCACUGAAAGAAGCUCCGUUGUAUCUCCGACAGCUACUACGUUACAAUGAAAGAGGAGAAUCAUCAAAUUUCCGCCAGAACAUCAGGUCGUACAACUCGAUGUUCGCAUUCACUUCAAUGGGAGGAAAGGUUGACUAUGAAAUUAAUAAGCAGGCAUCUGGACCGUAUGUUUUCCGUUUGAAUGGACAGAAUUACCAUCAGAUUGGCACUUUACUUCCUAAAGAUGACGUGAUGAAACCAAAAUUUGCCCAAUUGUACAUACAUGACACAGAAAAUGAAGUGCGGAAUAGGAUUAAUGCAUCUGCUUCAACGGAGAGUAAGACACAACCAGAUGAAAACAUUGUCAAAGGACUACUGGAGAUGCUUGAUGAGCACAGUGUUUUAGUCAAAUCAUUUUGUAUGGCAAGGGACAGAUUCCAAAACCGGCGUAUUAAAGAUGUAAGACUAAGAUUGAUCAACAAAAGGUCGAAAGAUGGACGGCAAUACAACCUACCAUCUGCAUCAGAAGUCGCAGCACUAAUUAUUGGAACAAGAUGGAGAAAAUAAUGAAUUUGAUAUAAUAGUUGAGACCAAAGACAGAAUGUUACAGAGGAUUUCAGAGUUGCACCCAAGCUAUAUGUCAAUGCAGUACCCCUUGCUUUUUCCAUAUGGAGAAGAUGGUUUCAGACCAGAAAUAGAGUAUGAAAAUAAAAGAGGCAGCAAAGGUAAAAGAAAGUAUGUAACAAUGCUGGAGUUUUAUGCGUAUCGCAUACAACAACGUCUGAACCAAGCUUCAACAUUGCAAAUGAGUGGAUGUUUGUUCCUGCAGUUCUUAGUUGAUGCAGCAACAUGCAUUGAAUAGUGGAGACUAAAUUAGUACAGGACAAACCAAGGUAAGUUGAGGUCAGAACUGUACAGAGGACUGCAUGAUGCAAUAGAAAAUGGAGAUACACGAACCGAACAAGUUGGACAAAGAAUCAUACUACCCUCAUCAUAUAAUGGCAGUCCAAGAAAUAAGCAGCAAAAUUACCAAGAUGCCAUGGCGAUUUGUCGUUGGGCUGGCUAUCAUGAUCUCUUCAUUACUUUUACAUGCAAUCCAAAAUGGCUGGAAAUACAAGAUAUGUUGGAUCUAAUUCCAGGCCAGAAACCUGAGGAUCGUCCAGAUAUUGUUGCCAGAGUAUUCAUGUUAAAACUGAAGGAACUUAUGAAUGACAUAAAGAAUGGAAAGUGUUUUGGACAAACAAUUGCAAGUAAGUUUACCUAAUAAGUACAUAUUCACUCUUUCCUAGAUGAUUGUCCUAACUCAUUUCUUCUCCAAUUUGUUUACUUUCAUAAAGUUGUCUACACUAUAGAGUUCCAGAAAAGAGGCCUCCCGCAUGCACACAUACUGGUGUUUCUACACCCAGAUGAUAAAGAUCGACAAAAUCAUAUCAGCCGAAAUUCCUGAUAAGAAAAGUGAUCCAGAAGGGUACGAAGCAGUGCAAAAUUACAUGAUACAUGGUCCAUGUGGUCAAGCACACCCAAAAUCACCAUGCAUGGUCGAUAAAAGUUGUGCCAAACAUUUCCCCAAGAAUUUUUGCACUGAUACUACCAUAGAUGAAGAUAACUAUCCAGUAUAUAGAAGGCGAGAUGAUGGCAACACUGUGGACAAGAAUGGAGUGAAGCUAGACAAUAGAUUUGUUGUGCCAUACAAUAGAAACCUACUGGUUAAGUAUCAAGCCCACAUAAAUGUUGAAUGGUGCAACAGAUCAAGGUCUAUAAAGUAUUUAUUCAAAUACAUCCACAAAGGAGAAGAUCGAACAACCGUCUUGAUAGAAGCGGAAGACCAACAAAGUGAAACAAGAGCUAGCAAAUUAACAAACAGGGACGACGAAAUCAAGAGGUACCUUGAUGCCCGGUACAUAUCUGGAUGUGAAGCCGCAUGGCGCAUAUUUUAGUUUCCUCUUCAGUGCAGAGAGCCUGCGGUUGAAAGGUUACAAUUUCACCUAGAAAAUGAACAUGUUGUGGUGUUCCCGGACUCGAUGGAUUUAGAUCAAAUUGUAUCCCGGCCUAACAUAGAAAAGACAAUGUUCACAGAAUGGAUGACAGCCAACCAGUUGCAUGAAGAAGCUCGCAGUUUGACGUAUGCACAGUUUCCAACCAAAUGGACUUGGCAUGCACAAGAGAAAGAAUGGAGGAAAAGGCGUGGUGGAAAAAAAACCAUAGGCAGGAUUUACUAUGCGCAUCCAACGAGUGGUGAAAAAUACUACUUGAGAAUGCUGUUAAAUACCGUCAAAGGAUGCAGAUCAUAUGAAGAAAUUCGAACAGUUGAUGGGGUUGUACAUCCAACAUUCAAAUCCGCAUGUUAUGCUCUUGGGCUACUUAAUGACGACAAAGAGUGGGAUGACUGCAUCAUGGAAGCAUCCCAUUGGGCCUCUGCUCCUCAAAUGCGCCAACUUUUCUGCACAAUACUUUUAUUUUGUGAGGUGACGGAUCCCGCAAAGUUGUGGCAAACAAAUUGGGAGUUACUAUCUGAGGAUAUGCAACGUCGGCAAAAAAGAAUAUUCAAUUUUCAUGCCCUGGAACUCAAUUCGGCACAAAUAAAGAGCCUGCUCCUGGCAGUGAUAGAACAACUAUUGACUAAAGGUGGUAAGUCCCUCAAAGAUUUUCCAGGAAUGCCACUACCAGAUAGUUCAGUUCUUCAAGAUCUAAGUAAUAGAUUAGUAAAUGAGGAACUAAACUACGAUAAAGAUUCUUUAAGAAUAGAGCACAUGAAGUUACUGCAUAAGCUAAAUCAGGAUCAGACGAUGGCUUUGACGUUAUAGUAGAAUCAGUCAACGAUAGUCUUGGAAAAUUGAUUUUUGUUGACGGAUAUGGUGGAACUGGAAAGACAUUUCUGUGGAAAGCAGUCACGACAAAAUUAAGAUCUGAAGGAAAAAUAGUUCUAGCAGUUGCUUCAAGUGGUAUAGCAGCACUUCCUUUACAGGGUGGAAGAACAGCUCAUUCCAGAUUUCACAUUCCCCUCAAGAUCACUAACGAGUCCACAUGCAACAUCAAGCAAGGAACAUUUCUUGCGGAGCUAAUAAAGAAAACGUCACUGAUAAUAUGGGAUGAAGCACCUAUGACACACAAGCACUGUUUUGAGGCACUAGAUAAGAGUUUGAGAGACAUACUUCGAUUCACAUAUGAGGGCGCAAAGCAUAGACCAUUUGGAGGAAUGACAGUAGUCUUGGGAGGUGACUUUAGGCAAAUCCUACCAGUUAUACCGAAGGGGAAAAGAGAACAUAUCAUUUCUGCAUCAAUAAAGAGAUCCUGCCUAUGGAAGAACUUUGAGGAGUACCGACUCAAAGAAAAUAUGCGUCUGAAUUCAUCCGAAGGUAGUUGAGAAGAGAAAGCAAAAACAGUUGAAUUCGCAAACUGGAUACUAAACAUAGGCGAUGGCACAACGUCAACAACAGAUGAAGAGGAUUGGGUUAGCAUCCCAGAGGACCUUAUUUUACAUGAAGGGGAUGACCCGAAAGCAUCUAUUGUUAACACCACCUAUCCUGACUUACACAAAAAAUACACUGAUAGAACAUACCUAGAGGAAAGAGCGAUCUUGUGCACAAGAAACGAGACAACUGACCAGAUUAAUGACUACAUCGUGAGUCAAAUCCCUGGAGAAGAGGUAACCUAUUUCAGUUCAUAUACAACAUGCAAGGCAAUGUCUACGGUGGAAGAUGAAGAUAUGUUGUACCCAACUGAGUUUCUGAAUAGUCUUACAUUUUCUGGAAUACCAGACCAUGAACUGAGGCUGAAAGUAGGAUUAUCAAUAAUGCUUAUGAGGAACAUCAAUCAAAGUGCAGGACUUUGCAAUGGGACAAGACUAACAAUAACACAGCUAGGAAAGCGUUUCAUUGAAGGCCAGGUCAUAACAGGUCCUGACGUUGGUGACAAAGUUACAUCCCAUGAAUUAUCAUGCCACCAAGUGAUUCAAAAUGGCCUUUCAUUCUGAAAAGGAGACAAUACCCAAUAUCAGUGCGCUUUGCUAUGACUAUAAACAAAAGCCAGGGGCAAUCUCUCAAAAAAGUUGGACUAAACUUAGAAAGGCAAGUGUUCACACAUGGACAACUCUAUGUUGCAAUGUCAAGGGUGACCAGCAGAAAUGGAUUGAAGAUACUCAUAUCAGAUGAAGAGCGUCCGUCCGACAAGGUUGCAAAAAACAUUGUUUACAAGGAUAUAUUAUAGAUAUUGUUACAAGCAUUCUGAUAUGACUAAAUAUAAUGUGAUGUAGACAUAGCAGCCUUAUUUGGUUUCAAAUUGAUAUAUCUGAAAUAUUUUAUCAGAACGAAAUUUAUUUACUUUUGGGUAUCUUAUUAUAUUCGUAUAUAGUCUAUAGUCAUUAUUUAGUUUAGUCUGAUUUUAGAAUUUCUAGCAAACUCAAUGUUUUGAUGCAUCCAUUUAACAAACCCAAAUAUAGUGUUUGUGAGCUUAUGCCCUUCACUCUUUUUAUGGUGUUCCUCUGAAGAUUGAACUAUAUUUAAGCUCUCUCUGACUGUAAGAGGACGGCCACUGUACUUUAUUUUCAAAAUAGUGGAAAUACAUUCAUAAGACAGUGUAUUUACACAGAUACCUGAUGGAGGGCUCACAACUGAUUUGACAAAAAUCAAUAUCAGUUAUGUAAGCAUCACGUAUGUGCUUUUAUCAAUUACUAUAACCUUUCUUUCUUCCCUAGCAAUUCAGAUCUGAUUUAACAAAUAAAGAAAAUUCCAAGAGUCUAAUUGCUAGAUAAAAUAUUAGAAACAGUAAUUUGAUAACCGUGCAAUGCAUGCCUAAAAUUUAUAUCAUAGAGAGAGGACAUGGUAAGGCAAAGGAAAGAUAUGCACCUGUUCGUACAAACACAGGGUCAAGGGAAAAUGGGGAUGGAUAAGAGUCGACGCCGCUGUUGCUGGAUGUGGAAACUCCGCUCAACAACGCGGGCAUCGGAGGAGAUUGCAGAUUCAGCGGGGACGACCUACCUCACGGCAAAUUGCAGAUUCAGCGGGGACGACCUACCACACGGCAAAGGGGAACGGUCGGAUGGCUGCCGCUACAGCCGGCGUUGCGAUGUGGUUCGCGAGGAACGACUUUCUGAGGUUACUGAUGAA
This 6495-nucleotide long non-coding RNA is filed under the name Triticum aestivum (bread wheat). Its description in RNAcentral is "long non-coding RNA (TAES_LNC016268)". Lineage: Eukaryota; Viridiplantae; Streptophyta; Magnoliopsida; Poales; Poaceae. The record is from RNAcentral.